GUGCCUAUAGCGCAGAUGGUCACGCACUACACAGGGGGUGUAGUGGUCUGAGUUCGCUUCUCUGUGGGCGCACCA
RNAcentral lists this transfer RNA (75 nucleotides) under Psychrobacter sp. ANT_WB68. RNAcentral's name for it is "tRNA-Pro". Lineage: Bacteria; Pseudomonadati; Pseudomonadota; Gammaproteobacteria; Moraxellales; Moraxellaceae. The record is from RNAcentral.